AACGAACGCUGGCGGCAUGCCUAACACAUGCCAGUCGAGCGAGACCUUCGGGUCUAGUGGCGCACGGGUGCGUAACGCGUGGGAACCUGCCCUUAGGUUCGGAAUAACUCCCCGAAAGGGGUGCUAAUACCGGAUAAUGUCUUCGGACCAAAGAUUUAUCGCCUUUGGAUGGGCCCGCGUUGGAUUAGCUAGUUGGUAGGGUAAAAGCCUACCAAGGCGACGAUCCAUAGCUGGUCUGAGAGGAUGAUCAGCCACACUGGGACUGAGACACGGCCCAGACUCCUACGGGAGGCAGCAGUGGGGAAUAUUGGACAAUGGGCGAAAGCCUGAUCCAGCAAUGCCGCGUGAGUGAUGAAGGCCUUAGGGUUGUAAAGCUCUUUUACCCGGGAUGAUGAUGACAGUACCGGGAGAAUAAGCUCCGGCUAACUCCGUG
This 433-nucleotide ribosomal RNA is filed under the name uncultured bacterium. Its description in RNAcentral is "partial 16S ribosomal RNA". It matches the Rfam family "Bacterial small subunit ribosomal RNA", at positions 29 to 507 of the family's 1533-position model. The record is from RNAcentral.